Molecule: long non-coding RNA, 447 nt
Organism: Marmota monax (woodchuck)
Lineage: Eukaryota; Metazoa; Chordata; Mammalia; Rodentia; Sciuridae
Exons: 4
Source: RefSeq, a predicted model, not a curated record
AGGCAGAAUCUUCAUUAUAAAUAUUCUCAGCAAUUUCUGCCUUUGUUUCAACAGUUGGACAUAGAAGUACAGAAAGCUGAGGACCAAGAAGAAAAACUAGCUAAUAUGUUUCAAGAGCAAAGAAAGCUUUUUCUUCAAUCUAGAAUUAUUCAGCGUGAGAAAGUUAAAGAAAUUAAAAAUUUGUACGAGCAAUUGCUAAAGAGUAUCAAAGACCUGGAGGAGUAUCAUGAAAGUCUUGUUAUUGGUGAACAAAGUAAAGUGAAAAAAGAAAUGGCUGAGUUGCAGGAAAACAUUCUUAGGGAGACUCAACAGCAAGAAGUGGCAGUUGUUGAAAAGUCUCUUCACUCUCUGUUAUACUGAUGGCUCUGAAGAAAAAACUCAAACCUACAUUACCUACAGUUAAAAAACUCAAACCUAAGUUACCUAAGUUAAAUAUAACAUUAGUUA